RNAcentral lists this ribosomal RNA (400 nucleotides) under uncultured bacterium. Its description in RNAcentral is "bacterial SSU rRNA". It matches the Rfam family "Bacterial small subunit ribosomal RNA", at positions 29 to 419 of the family's 1533-position model. The record is from RNAcentral.
AAUGAACGCUGGCGGCGCGCCUAAUACAUGCAAGUCGAGCGAGAAGACGUAGCAAUACGUUUGUAAAGCGGCGAACGGGUGAGGAAUACAUGGGUAACCUACCCUCGAGUGGGGAAUAACUAGCCGAAAGGUUAGCUAAUACCGCGUACGCUCCUUGGACUUCGGUUCAGGGAGGAAAGCGAUACCGUGGGUAUCGCGCUCUUGGUUGGGCUCAUGUCCUAUCAGCUUGUUGGUGAGGNGAUGGCCUACCAAGGCGACGACGGGUAGCCGGCCUGAGAGGGCGACCGGCCACACUGGGACUGAGACACGGCCCAGACUCCUACGGGAGGCAGCAGUGGGGAAUCUUGCGCAAUGGGCGAAAGCCUGACGCAGCGACGCCGCGUGAGGGAUGACGGCCUGG